GUUUCUCAGGAGGCGACCGGAAGAGUUAAGGUGUUUUGCUUUUAGAUAAGGGCAAGGGGACAAAGAAGAGGCCUGCCCAGAGGAUUUCUGGUGCGCAGGACCCUCCUGCGCAGGUUCUGUGCACUGUGGUUGCCAUAGAAACGUGAUGUCAUUGUGGCGACAGUGACAACAUUCUGAAGGAGACGGAGUUGCUUUCUUGAGAAAAUGCCUGACCCGCCUUCAGGAGUGGUCAGCAGAGGGUCUCUUCAUCUGGUGUUUGAGCUCAUAUCAGAUGUCUAAAGAAGAUAGUUUCUGAGGUUGUGGGUCAUGAUGGCUGCUGAAGCUUCUACUCCAGAUCUGAAGGGUAGCAGUGCUCAGGAGACCCCAGACACUUACAUCCCUGAGUAUAACAUCAGAGAAGGGUGGGAAUGCUGUACUCCAGAACAAGGGGCUCUUGGAGAAGAACCAAGUUUGCUAUGGAAUCUGCUGGAGAGGUUACUGGAACAAGAAUGAAGAGGUCAUAGGGAUCUCUUAUGCAGUUUUUAAGUAGCAGUCAGAGCUAAAAUCCUAACCAGCACACUCAGGAAGAAGAAACACACCACAGUUGAACUCUGUCAUCCUAUUUUGGGUAAUAUUGGGUCAGGAAUGUAUGUCUUUGGGAGGAUGUGGUGCUUGGGUAGCUAUUGUGCCUUAAAGCAGAUGGUGUUUGAGAAAAUAAAAAGAUAAUAAUUGUAAAAACAAAGGAUAACAAAUAUUUUUAAAAGUAACACUCCUCAAAG
Molecule: long non-coding RNA, 758 nt
Filed under: Ictidomys tridecemlineatus (thirteen-lined ground squirrel)
Lineage: Eukaryota; Metazoa; Chordata; Mammalia; Rodentia; Sciuridae
Description: lncRNA (ENSSTOG00000030070.1)
Source: RNAcentral